GUCUAAUCCCCUGCGAGGACGCAAAAAGCCGGGAAGGGGGACCCAAGACUUCAGAAUUCCAUGGUGGAUAUAGAGAGAGUGAGUUAGCGAGUGAGAUUUUACUGAGAAAUUGUGACCAAAAUAGCAUCGAAAGGCAAAGAAAAAAGGAGUGAAGGAAAAAAUCUACCGGGGAAAAAAUAGAAGUAGGUUUCAGACGAACGACGGAGAGAGUUUGAAGGAGAUUCGUCACUAUUUUGUCCUCUGGAAUAAACAUCGGAGGUAGGUUGCUGCGCUCUCUUGACUUAACUGAAUCUUGAGCUUUGCUUUCAGGGCUAUGGUUUCCGGUCUUUUGUCGUUUAGAGCUGACUGUUACUGAAUUUCCGGAGGUAUUAGUUUGCCUCUUCGAUUUUGGUUUGAUCUCUCCUUUUCAACUUUAGUUUUCCUAGGCGUGGGCGAUGAGAGCCAUGGAAAUGGGCUGAAGCUUGGAAUUGUUCGGUAAUGACUACGUUGGCUGGGCAAUUAGCUUUUCGUGCCUAAUUAGGUGUUUAUGUUAUUAGGAAUGGUGGUAGGUAUGGUAAUGACAAUAUGAAAAUAAUGACGGUGGUUUAGCAUUUGGAGGAUUAUUUGAGUCUGCGAGUUCACAACCCUUAGAGAAAGUUUUCUGACGAAGGAAUGAGAUCUUAACGAUGAUCGACUACAGAGGUCGAAUUUAACUUAUCAGCGCUUCGCCAUCAAUUAUUUUAAAUCCAUCACAUGUUUGCUCUUUCAUAACUUUUUAUCUAUCUCUUCUCUACUUUUUAUGAGGAUUGAACAUUUAAUGUGGUACCAAUAGCUUGAAUAUUCUCACCCUCAUUAAUUCUUGUUAUUAUGUCUGUGCUCAAUGCUAGUUUUAUGUUAUCAUUACUCACCAUGAAAUAUUUUAAGAACUAUUUAUGUAUUGUUUUAAUUACAUUCAUCUCAUAAUUAAUUACAUUUGUCCUAUAUCAUAUGCUUAGAGGCCUCCAUUCUAAAACUUGUCUAUUUGAAGAUAUUAGUCAGUGGUACUAUGAUCGUGCUAAAGUCCUUGAUAAACUAGCGAGAAAAAGUACCAAAUCGUUGAAACUUAUAACAUCUGCAAUGGAAGUAGGUGUUGCCUAAUAAAUUGUGGUUGUAAUCUUUGUGGGAUUUUGUUCAUGACCUUUAGAAUAUACCACAAAUCCAACAAAAGCGCGCGGGGCUACAGAAACAUACCUUUCACUGUGACUUACUCAGUAGACUCCUCAUAAAAGUGAUCCUAACCAGAAAGCAGAUGAUCUUGAUCGAGGAGUGGGCGUGCUGUUGACAAUUCUUCAUGGUGCGUAAUGCUUUGAGAAGUGAAAGUGUGAAGCGAAGCAUUUGGCCUUAAGGUAGAAUGCAAUAGAAGUUUAGAAGUACAAAACAUAAGCUUUAUCAUUUUAAUUUUUAGUAAUUAAAAAUGUUAAAAUAUAUUAUGAUGGUAUUAAACUAAAGUAAUAAUAUAGUAAAUUAUUAUAUCUUCUUACUAGUUUUAACCAUUUUUAGUUUGUCCAUUAAUGGAACACAUCAAAAUUUGUUCACAUUAAUAUGAAGUUAGUUGUGUAAUAUCUUUUUAUCUGGUUAGGAUAUAAUUAUAAUAAACAAGCAUUAUGGAAUAAGCUUAAAAUGAACUUAAGUUACUAAUAAAGAGCACAUGACAAUUAAAACCUUUGAACUAUGGGUGUGGUUUACUAUUAAAAUAUAGUGGACUAAUAAAAAAAUAGGUGAUAUGUGUUGUACUUAGAUGAAUGAGGAAAAAAUAGGGUAAAUAAUCUGAAGGAAAAAAAUGCCGAUUUAUAAGGUUGAUGGGAAAAGAAAGUACAUAUAUUGUAUACGAUAUAUGACAGAAUGAAUGAUGAGGUGGAAAUUAUAUGAAGCAUUUUGUCUUGAAGCUGCAAGGGGGUGAUAUUGGGUGCAGCUUCUUUUUUUGGUUUUUUACAAUUUUAUUUCCUUCACCUUCCUUAAUUUGGUAAGUAAAAUCGAAGUGUAUGCUUUUCACGCUUCAAAUCACAUCUUGAAGCAUAUCUUCAUAUAGAGAAGCAUAGCUUUAUACUACAAACCCUUAGAUUGUCAUAAUUUAGAACGUAUUGGGACUAAUUUUCUUUAAAUCAUACUUUUUAUGCUUUAAAGAACAUUUUAAAAGCAUUAGUUGAUGGUGGUGGGUAGCUUUUUGAUGUGAUUAAUUGCUAGUAAAGGCUAUGAAUUUUUAGUUUAAUAUUUAUCAGGUGUUCUUGUGUUUAUUUUGGAAUGAUGAAGAGUUUGAAGGGGUAUUUUUGUAGGAAUGCAAAGAUUGGUCCAGUUUGUAUUGAUUUGGAAGAUCAUUUUAUUGAGUGACUUUAAUGUGGGAUAAAUGAUUGAAAAUGAUGGUGGAAUUUAGUUUAGGAUGUGAAAUUAUGAUAUGGAGUUGAUGGUAGAGUAUGAUGGAGUUUAAAAGGAUGUGGAGAUGUAUUGAAUAAGACUAGGCCCAAGUGUUUUAUAGUUUAACUAAGAGUUAUGUGGAAGUGCUUAAAAUGAUUUUAAGGUUUUGGUUGCUGGUCUAUUGGUCUUAGAAUUUGCGAAUAGAGUAAAGGAAGAUAUUAGAGCGGGUGUUUAGGAAGGGUAACUAGUAACUUAAAGAAAAUAUCAUGAUAACUAUCUAACUUAUCAAAGAUAGGCAAACGAUUUGAAGCCACGAGCACCGAGUAAAUGAAUAACACUUCUCUUCUAAAAUUUUUCAUUCAUCAAUAAAAACUAUAAAAUAUUUCAGCCUAUAUUUAUUAGCAUUAUAUUACUCUU
Molecule: RNA transcript, 2787 nt
Organism: Dendrobium catenatum
Lineage: Eukaryota; Viridiplantae; Streptophyta; Magnoliopsida; Asparagales; Orchidaceae
Gene name: barley B recombinant-like protein D
Exons: 4
Source: RefSeq, a predicted model, not a curated record